UACGGAGGAUCUAAGCGUUAUCCGGAUUCAUUGGGUUUAAAGGGUGCGUAGGCGGAUUUGUAAGUCAGUGGUGAAAGCCAACAGCUUAACUGUUGAACUGCCAUUGAUACUGCAAGUCUUGAGUACAUUUGAUGUGGGCGGAAUGUGUCAUGUAGCGGUGAAAUGCUUAGAUAUGACACAGAACACCGAUUGCGAAGGCAGCUCACAAAACUGUAACUGACGCUGAGGCACGACAGCGUGGGGAUCAAACAGG
Molecule: ribosomal RNA, 253 nt
Filed under: uncultured bacterium
Lineage: Bacteria
Description: partial 16S ribosomal RNA
Rfam family: Bacterial small subunit ribosomal RNA
Source: RNAcentral